AGAAUGAACGUUGGCGGCGUGGAUUAGGCAUGCAAGUCGGGGGAAUCCCGCAAGGGGGAACCGGCGUAAGGGGCAGUAAGGCAUGGGUACCUACCUUUGGGUUCGGGAUAGCCAUCAGAGAUGGUGGGUAAUACCGGAUGACGUCGUGAGACCAAAGAUUUAUCGCCCAUUGAGGGGCCCAUGUGAUAUUAGCUUGUUGGUGAGGUAACGGCUCACCAAGGCGAAGAUGUCUAGCGGGUGUGAGAGCACGACCCGCGCCACUCGCACUGAGACACUGGCGAGACACCUACGGGUGGCUGCAGUCGAGGAUCUCGGCAAGUGGGCGCAAGCCUAGACCGAGCGACGCCGCGUGUGCGAUGGAAGGCCGUUCGGUUAGUAAAGCUACGUUUAAGGUAGGGGGGAAGAAAAGACCGGAAAGGUGUGUAUACUA
RNAcentral lists this ribosomal RNA (430 nucleotides) under uncultured soil bacterium. RNAcentral describes it as "bacterial SSU rRNA". It matches the Rfam family "Bacterial small subunit ribosomal RNA", at positions 26 to 477 of the family's 1533-position model. The record is from RNAcentral.